Molecule: ribosomal RNA, 492 nt
Filed under: uncultured bacterium
Lineage: Bacteria
Description: partial 16S ribosomal RNA
Rfam family: Bacterial small subunit ribosomal RNA
Source: RNAcentral
AGUGAACGCUGGCGGUAGGCCUAACACAUGCAAGUCGAACGGCAGCACAGUAAGAGCUUGCUCUUACGGGUGGCGAGUGGCGGACGGGUGAGGAAUACAUCGGAAUCUACUUUUUCGUGGGGGAUAACGUAGGGAAACUUACGCUAAUACCGCAUACGACCUACGGGUGAAAGCAGGGGAUCUUCGGACCUUGCGCGAUUGAAUGAGCCGAUGCCGGAUUAGCUAGUUGGCGGGGUAAAGGCCCACCAAGGCGACGAUCCGUAGCUGGUCUGAGAGGAUGAUCAGCCACACUUGAACUGUGACACGGUCCAGACUCCUACGGGAGGCAGCAGUGGGGACUAUUGGACAAUUGGCGCAAGCCUGAUCCAGCCCUACCGCGUGGGUGAAGAAGGCCUUCGGGUUGUAAAGCCCUUUUGUUGGGAAAGAAAAGCAGCAGGUUAAUACCCCGCUGUUCUGACGGUACCCAAAGAAUAAGCACCGGCUAACUUCGUG